CACAUUGCCCUCUUCACUACCUCUCUCAAAAGAGAUUACCAGAUAGCAGGAGCUGCCAGAGGCACAGACAGAGCGACAGAUAUGGACAUGGGAAAGGACCUGGAGAGGACGAAGGUCGAAAACUGUAAUCAACGAAGCUGACAAAAGUGCUCUGGGCAUGGUGGACAGCAUAAUCGGAGAAGCACAGAAGAAACUGGCGGCAGCUGACCAACACAGCCCAGGAUGCCGUGAAGGGAGUAGCGAAGGAUUCAACCACCAAAUAGACAGGGAACGGAGCUGUGGACCCUGUCAAGCUGGCAAAGAGUUUCUUCUGAUCUACCCCCUACCCCAUACCCCUACCCGACUGGAACGUUCCUUCUAAAUUCAUAAUUAUGUGGAAUAAAAAUUAUAAUUAUCAUUAAAAAA
Polyodon spathula (Mississippi paddlefish) is the source of this 405-nucleotide long non-coding RNA. RefSeq lists it as uncharacterized. NCBI's taxonomy places the organism in Eukaryota, Metazoa, Chordata, Actinopteri, Acipenseriformes, Polyodontidae. The record is from RefSeq and is a predicted model, not a curated record. The transcript is spliced from 3 exons.